Molecule: signal recognition particle RNA, 249 nt
Filed under: Callipepla squamata (scaled quail)
Lineage: Eukaryota; Metazoa; Chordata; Aves; Galliformes; Odontophoridae
Description: Metazoan signal recognition particle RNA
Rfam family: Metazoan signal recognition particle RNA
About the family: The signal recognition particle (SRP) is a universally conserved ribonucleoprotein. It is involved in the co-translational targeting of proteins to membranes. The eukaryotic SRP consists of a 300-nucleotide 7S RNA and six proteins: SRPs 72, 68, 54, 19, 14, and 9.
Source: Rfam by way of RNAcentral
CCUAUGGUCCCACUGAGUUCUAUGGCCCAGCUACUCGGGAGGCUGAGCUCGCUGGAUCGCUUGAGCCCAGGAGUUCUGGGCUGCAGUGCGCUAUGCCGAGCGGGCGUCCGCGCGUUGCCUAAGGAGGGGUGAACCGGCCCAGGUCGAAAACGGAGCAGGUCAAAAAUCCCGUGCCGGUCAGUAGCGGGAUCGCGCCUGUGAAUAGCCACUGCAGCGUAGCCUGGGCAACACAGAGAGACACGGGUUCCU